This 449-nucleotide ribosomal RNA is filed under the name uncultured bacterium. RNAcentral describes it as "partial 16S ribosomal RNA". It matches the Rfam family "Bacterial small subunit ribosomal RNA", at positions 29 to 523 of the family's 1533-position model. The record is from RNAcentral.
AACGAACGCUGGCGGCAUGCCAAACACAUGCAAGUCGAACGAAGCCUUCGGGCUUAGUGGCGCACGGGUGCGUAGCGCGUGGGAAUCUGCCCUUUGGUUCGGAAUAACAGUUGGAAACGACUGCUAAUACCGGAUGAUGACGAAAGUCCAAAGAUUUAUCGCCAGAGGAUGAGCCCGCGUAGGAUUAGCUAGUUGGUGUGGUAAAGGCGCACCAAGGCGACGAUCCUUAGCUGGUCUGAGAGGAUGAUCAGCCACACUGGGACUGAGACACGGCCCAGACUCCUACGGGAGGCAGCAGUGGGGAAUAUUGGACAAUGGGCGAAAGCCUGAUCCAGCAACGCCGCGUGAGUGAUGAAGGCCCUAGGGUUGUAAAGCUCUUUUACCCGGGAUGAUAAUGACAGUACCGGGAGAAUAAGCCCCGGCUAACUCCGUGCCAGCCGCCGCCGUAA